RNAcentral lists this ribosomal RNA (256 nucleotides) under uncultured bacterium. RNAcentral describes it as "partial 16S ribosomal RNA". It matches the Rfam family "Bacterial small subunit ribosomal RNA", at positions 524 to 776 of the family's 1533-position model. The record is from RNAcentral.
UACGGAGGGCGCAAGCGUUGUCCGGAAGUUAUUGGGCGUAAAGAGCUCGUAGGUGGUUUGUCGCGUUGUUCGUGAAACUCACAGCGUCAACUGUGGGCGUGCGGGCGGAUACGGGCAGACUAGAGUACUGCAGGGAGGACUGGAAUUCCUGGUGUAGCGGUGGAAUGCGCAGAGUAUCAGGAGGAACACCGGUGGCGAAGGCGGGUCUCGUGGGCCGAUACUGACGUGAGGAGCGAAAGCGUGGGGAGCGAACAGG